Molecule: ribosomal RNA, 437 nt
Filed under: Blastocystis sp.
Lineage: Eukaryota; Bigyra; Opalinata; Blastocystidae
Description: SSU rRNA
Rfam family: Eukaryotic small subunit ribosomal RNA
Source: RNAcentral
AAUUGGAUUGAGAACAAUGUACAACUCUUAUCGAUAAGCCAUUGGAGGGCAAGUCUGGUGCCAGCAGCCGCGGUAAUUCCAGCUCCAAUAGCGUAUAUUAACGUUGUUGCAGUUAAAAAGCUCGUAGUUGAAGUGUGGGUGAUCGCUAUUGUGAGACUUCGGUCUCUCGAUAGUAAGUCACCCCCUUCCAGUAUCCAGUAGUGGGUAUUCAGUUACUUACUACUGUGUGUUGGUCCUUUACUGUGAGAAAAUUAGAGUGUUCAAAGCAGGCGUUUGCUUGAAUAGAUUAGCAUGGAAUAAUAAUUGAAGGCUUUCGUGUUCGAUUUGAUUGGUUUGUUCAUGGAAGCAAGGUUAAAAGGAACAGUUGGGGGUAUUCAUAUUCACUAGUUAGAGGUGAAAUUCUCGGAUUUAUGGAAGAUGAACAAGUGCGAAAGCAA